AAGUCGUAACAAGGUUUCCGUAGGUGAACCUGCGGAAGGAUCAUUACCGAGUUCAUGCCCUCACGGGUAGAUCUCCCACCCUUUGUAUACCUUACCUUUGUUGCUUUGGCGGGCCGCCUAGCUACUGGCUUCGGCUGGUAAGUGCCCGCCGGAGAACCCCAAACCCAACCCAUUUAUAGUGUCGUCUGAGUAAAAUUUUAAUAUUUAAAACUUUCAACAACGGAUCUCUUGGCUCUC
RNAcentral lists this unclassified non-coding RNA (237 nucleotides) under Tetracladium marchalianum. Its description in RNAcentral is "partial internal transcribed spacer region". The stretch from base 1 to 46 matches the Rfam family "Eukaryotic small subunit ribosomal RNA", at positions 1786 to 1831 of the family's 1831-position model. Lineage: Eukaryota; Fungi; Ascomycota; Leotiomycetes; Helotiales. The record is from RNAcentral.